GACGAACGCUGUCGGCGUGCUUAACACAUGCAAGUCGAACGGAAAGGCCUUUUCUGAGGGACUCUAGUGUGGAACAGGUGAGAAACACAUGGGUGAUCUGCCCUGCGCUCUGGGAUAAACCUGGGAAACUGGGUCUCAUACCCGAUAUGACUGCCCUUUAUUGUGUGUGGGGUAAAGAUUUUUCUGUGUAUGAUAAGACCUCGCCCUAUCUCCUCUUGGGGGGGGUAAUGGGCUACCACGGCGGCGACAGGGAUCCCGACUGAGAGGUUGGGCAGCCACAUUGUGACUGAGAUACACCCCACACACUUACAGGAGGCGCCACUGGGGAAUAUUGCGCAAUGGGCGCAAGCCUGAUACACCGACACCCCGUGGGGGAUAACAGCCUUCUCGUUGUAAACUCCUUUCUCCAUAGACAAAACGUUUUGUGACAGUACCUGUAGAAAAAACACCGCCUAUCUACAUGUCACCACCCGCGCUAAUACACAUGUUGCGAGAGUUGUCCCGAAUUACUGGGCGUAAAGAGCUCGCAUGUGGGUUGUCACGUCUCCUGUGAAAUUCCACAGCUUAUAUGUGGGCGUGCGCGCGAUACUGGCUGACUUGAGUACUGCAGGGGUAACUGGAAUUCCUGGUGUAGCGGUGAAAUGCGCAGAUAUCAGGAGGCACACCGAUGGAGAAGGCAGGUUACUGGGCAGUUACUGACGCUGAGGAGCGAAAGCAUGGGUAGCAAACAGGAUUAGAUACCCUGGUAGUCCAUGCCGUAAACGGUGGGCGCUAGGUGUAGGGGCCUUUUGGGGUUUCUGUCCGGUAGUUAACACAUUAAACGCCCCCGCCUGGGGAGUACGGCCGCCAGGGUUAAAACUCAAAGGAAUUUACGGGGGCCCGCACCAAGCGGCGGAGCAUGUGGAUUAAUUUGAUGCCACGGGAAGGACCUUACCUGGGCCUGAGAUAUCCCCCGAUAUCUGCAUAGAUAUAGUUUCCCUUGUGGCAUGUGUACACAGGGUGCAUGACUGUCGUCAUCUCCUGUCGUGAGAUGUUGGGGUAAGUCUCGCACCGAGCGCACCCCCUGUCUUAUGUUUCCAGCGCGUUAUGGUGGGGACUCAUGAGAGACUGCCGGGGUUAACUCGGAGGAAGGUGGGGAUGACGUCAAGUCAUCAUGCCCCUUAUGUCCAGGGCUUCACACAUGCUACAAUGGCCGGUACAAUGCGCAGCGACCCUGUGAGGGUGAGCUAAUCGCUUAAAGCUGGUCUUAGUUCGGAUUGGGGUCUGCAACUCGACCCCAUGAAGUCGGAGUCGCUAGUAAUCGCAGAUCAGCAAUGCUGCGGUGAAUACGUUCCCGGGCCU
RNAcentral lists this ribosomal RNA (1341 nucleotides) under uncultured bacterium. RNAcentral's name for it is "partial 16S ribosomal RNA". It matches the Rfam family "Bacterial small subunit ribosomal RNA", at positions 28 to 1381 of the family's 1533-position model. The record is from RNAcentral.